AGUGAACGCUGGCGGCGUGCUUAACACAUGCAAGUCGAACGAGAACGGGUUAUAGCUUGCUAUAAUUGUCAGCUAAGUGGCGCGCGGGUGAGUAAUGUAUAGGUAAUAUGCCUCUUACUAAGGGAUAACAAAUGGAAACGUUUGCUAAUACCUUAUACUCCUUAUUAACAUAAGUUAAUAAGGGAAAGAUUUAUUGGUAAGAGAUUAGCCUGUAUUGUAUCAGUUAGUUGGUGGGGUAAUGGCUUAACAAGACUAUGACACAUAACUGGUUUGAGAGGAUGAUCAGUCACACUGGAACUGAGACACGGUCCAGACUCCUACGGGAGGCAGCAGUGGGGAAUAUUGCACAAUGGACGAAAGUCUGAUGCAGCAACGCCGCGUCGAGGAUGACACAUUUCGGUGCGUAAACUCCUUUUAUAUGAGAAGAUAAUGACGGUAUUAUAUGAAUAAGCACCGGCUAACUCCGUGCCAGCCGCCGCCGUAA
This 484-nucleotide ribosomal RNA is filed under the name uncultured bacterium. RNAcentral's name for it is "partial 16S ribosomal RNA". It matches the Rfam family "Bacterial small subunit ribosomal RNA", at positions 29 to 523 of the family's 1533-position model. The record is from RNAcentral.